RNAcentral lists this ribosomal RNA (492 nucleotides) under uncultured bacterium. Its description in RNAcentral is "partial 16S ribosomal RNA". It matches the Rfam family "Bacterial small subunit ribosomal RNA", at positions 29 to 507 of the family's 1533-position model. The record is from RNAcentral.
AGUGAACGCUGGCGGUAGGCCUAACACAUGCAAGUCGAACGGCAGCACAGUAAGAGCUUGCUCUUACGGGUGGCGAGUGGCGGACGGGUGAGGAAUACAUCGGAAUCUACUUUUUCGUGGGGGAUAACGUAGGGAAACUUACGCUAAUACCGCAUACGACCUACGGGUGAAAGCAGGGGAUCUUCGGACCUUGCGCGAUUGAAUGAGCCGAUGUCGGAUUAGCUAGUUGGCGGGGUAAAGGCCCACCAAGGCGACGAUCCGUAGCUGGUCUGAGAGGAUGAUCGGCCACACUGGAACUGAGACACGGUCCAGACUCCUACGGGAGGGAGCAGUGGGGAAUAUUGGACAAUGGGCGCAAGCCUGAUCCAGCCAUACCGCGUGGGUGAAGAAGGCCUUCGGGUUGUAAAGCCCUUUUGUUGGGAAAGAAAAGCAGCAGGUUAAUACCCCGCUGUUCUGACGGUACCCAAAGAAUAAGCACCGGCUAACUUCGUG